Molecule: ribosomal RNA, 512 nt
Filed under: uncultured Glomus
Lineage: Eukaryota; Fungi; Glomeromycota; Glomeromycetes; Glomerales; Glomeraceae
Description: bacterial SSU rRNA
Rfam family: Eukaryotic small subunit ribosomal RNA
Source: RNAcentral
AGCAGCCGCGGUAAUUCCAGCUCCAAUAGCGUAUAUUAAAGUUGUUGCAGUUAAAAAGCUCGUAGUUGAAUUUCGGGGUCAGUAGGCUGGUCAUGCCACAGGUAUGUACUGGUCUCACUGAUUCCUCCUUCCUGAUGAACCGUAAUGCCAUUAAUUUGGUGCUGCGGGGAAACUGGACUGUUACUUUGAAAAAAUUAGAGUGUUUAAAGCAGGCUAACGCUUGAAUACAUUAGCAUGGAAUAAUGAAAUAGGACGUUCGAUCCUAUUUUGUUGGUUUCUAGGAUUGACGUAAUGAUUAAUAGGGAUAGUUGGGGGCAUUAGUAUUCAAUUGUCAGAGGUGAAAUUCUUGGAUUUAUUGAAAGACUAACUACUGCGAAAGCAUUUGCCAAGGAUGUUUUUCAUUAAUCAAGAACGAAAGUUAGAGGUUCGAAGGCGAUCAGAUACCGCCCUAGUUCUAACCAUAAACGAUGUCGAUGGCGAUCCGCUAUCGUUAACUGAAUAGACUUAGCGGG